GGAUCAUUGUCGAAAUCGAACGGAAGAACGACCCGCGAAUCGUCAUUGCGUAGUAGAUAGGGCCCGCGAGCACCUAACGCUCACGGGUCUCGCGUCGCGUCGGCGCGGGUGUACUCGAGACCCGCGUCGUACCGGCGGACAAACAACGUCAGCACGGAUCGUGCCAAGGACCUGCAUGGAGAGAAUCGUCGUCCCACGCCUUUGAUAGUCCUCGACGCGGGACGGGGGACGUACGCAAUCUCUACUCAAGUCUAAACGACUCUCGGCAACGGAUAUCUCGGCUCUUGCAUCGAUGAAGAACGUAGCGAAAUGCGAUACUUGGUGUGAAUUGCAGAAUCCCGUGAACCAUCAAUUCUUUGAACGCAAGUUGCGCCCGAAGCCAUUCGGCCGAGGGCACGCCUGCCUGGGCGUCGUGAAUCCCCUUGCCCCUAGGCACCCGCAUGAGCAUUGGCGGGGAUAUAUGCUGGGGCGCAGAGUAUGGUCUCCCGUGGUAUCGGCAUGCACGGCAUGUCGAGGUGCGGUUGGCCGAAAAUCGAGCAUGGCGGUGACGGGCACCACGGCGUUCGGUGGAUCGAAUGAGAUUGGCUGCGUCGUGGGCUCGGCAUGCGGCGGGCUCCGGACUUUGAAUAUCCCCGAGUGCGAUCCCAGGUCAGGCGGGGCUACCCGCUGAGUUUAAGCAUAUCAAUAAGCGGAGGAAAAGAAACUAACGAGGAUUCCCUUAGUAGCGGC
RNAcentral lists this ribosomal RNA (729 nucleotides) under Miconia mortoniana. RNAcentral's name for it is "eukaryotic LSU rRNA". The stretch from base 258 to 413 matches the Rfam family "5.8S ribosomal RNA". The record is from RNAcentral. Lineage: Eukaryota; Viridiplantae; Streptophyta; Magnoliopsida; Myrtales; Melastomataceae.